RNAcentral lists this ribosomal RNA (459 nucleotides) under uncultured bacterium. RNAcentral's name for it is "partial 16S ribosomal RNA". It matches the Rfam family "Bacterial small subunit ribosomal RNA", at positions 338 to 795 of the family's 1533-position model. The record is from RNAcentral.
CCUACGGGAGGCAGCAGUGAGGAAUAUUGGUCAAUGGUCGCAAGGCUGAACCAGCCAAGCCGCGUGCAGGACGAAGGCGCUAAGGAUUGUAAACUUCUUUUGUGAAGGGAUAAAAUGGGGCUCGAGUGCCUGUCCGUAGGUACUUGAAGAAAAAGCAUCGGCUAACUCCGUGCCAGCAGCCGCGGUAAUACGGAGGGUGCGGGCGUUAUCCGGAUUUAUUGGGUUAAAAGGGUGCGUAGGCGGCUGGUUAAGUCGGCGGUAAAAGCCCGGGGCUCAACCCCGGCGAGCCGUUGAAACUGGCUGGCUUGAGUUGGCGAGAGGUAUGCGGAAUGCGCGGUGUAGCGGUGAAAUGCUUAGAUAUUGCGAAGAACUCCGAUUGCGAAGGCAGCAUACCGGAGGCGGACUGACGCUGAGGCACGAAAGCGUGGGUAUCGAACAGGAUUAGAUACCCCGGUAGUC